RNAcentral lists this non-coding RNA (24 nucleotides) under Mus musculus (house mouse). Lineage: Eukaryota; Metazoa; Chordata; Mammalia; Rodentia; Muridae. The record is from RNAcentral.
UGAGCCGAACUGGAACGUUGUUGC